This 539-nucleotide ribosomal RNA is filed under the name uncultured Hypocreaceae. RNAcentral's name for it is "eukaryotic LSU rRNA". The stretch from base 175 to 328 matches the Rfam family "5.8S ribosomal RNA". The record is from RNAcentral. Lineage: Eukaryota; Fungi; Ascomycota; Sordariomycetes; Hypocreales.
UAACGUUACCAAACUGUUGCCUCGGCGGGAUCUUCUGCCCCGGGUGCGUCGCAGCCCCGGACCAAGGCGCCCGCCGGAGGAAUCAACCAAAACUCUUAUUGUAUACCCCUCGCGGGUUUUUUUAUAAUCUGAGCCUUCUCGGCGCCUCUCGUAGGCGUUUCGAAAAUGAAUCAAAACUUUCAACAACGGAUCUCUUGGUUCUGGCAUCGACGAAGAACGCAGCGAAAUGCGAUAAGUAAUGUGAAUUGCAGAAUUCAGUGAAUCAUCGAAUCUUUGAACGCACAUUGCGCCCGCCAGUAUUCUGGCGGGCAUGCCUGUCCGAGCGUCAUUUCAACCCUCGAACCCCUCCGGGGGGUCGGCGUUGGGGAUCGGCCUUCCUUCACGGGGGCCGCCCCCGAAAUACAGUGGCGGUCUCGCCGCAGCCUCUCCUGCGCAGUAGUUUGCACACUCGCAUCGGGAGCGCGGCGCGUCCACAGCCGUUAAACACCCAACUUUCUGAAAUGUUGACCUCGGAUCAGGUAGGAAUACCCGCUGAACUU